GACGAACGCUGGCGGCGUGCUUAACACAUGCAAGUCGAACGAAGAGCGAUGGAAGCUUGCUUCUAUCAAUCUUAGUGGCGAACGGGUGAGUAACGCGUAAUCAACCUGCCCUUCAGAGGGGGACAACAGUUGGAAACGACUGCUAAUACCGCAUACGAUCUAAUCUCGGCAUCGAGGAUAGAUGAAAGGUGGCCUCUACAUGUAAGCUAUCACUGAAGGAGGGGAUUGCGUCUGAUUAGCUAGUUGGAGGGGUAACGGCCCACCAAGACGAUGAUCAGUAGCCGGUCUGAGAGGAUGAACGGCCACAUUGGGACUGAGACACGGCCCAGACUCCUACGGGAGGCAGCAGUGGGGAAUCUUCCGCAAUGGACGAAAGUCUGACGGAGCAACGCCGCGUGAGUGAUGACGGCCUUCGGGUUGUAAAGCUCUGUUAAUCGGGACGAAAGGCCUUCUUGCGAAUAGUGAGAAGGAUUGACGGUACCGGAAUAGAAAGCCACGGCUAACUACGU
This 509-nucleotide ribosomal RNA is filed under the name uncultured bacterium. RNAcentral describes it as "partial 16S ribosomal RNA". It matches the Rfam family "Bacterial small subunit ribosomal RNA", at positions 28 to 506 of the family's 1533-position model. The record is from RNAcentral.